Molecule: ribosomal RNA, 670 nt
Filed under: Corynebacterium xerosis
Lineage: Bacteria; Bacillati; Actinomycetota; Actinomycetes; Mycobacteriales; Corynebacteriaceae
Description: bacterial SSU rRNA
Rfam family: Bacterial small subunit ribosomal RNA
Source: RNAcentral
CGCCGCCUUCCAGCUUGCUGGGGUACCGAGUGGCGAACGGGUGAGUAACACGUGGGUGACCUGCCCCGCACUUCGGGAUAAGCCUGGGAAACUGGGUCUAAUACCGGAUAGGACCGCACCGUGAGGGUGUGGUGUAAAGUUUUUCGGUGUGGGAUGGGCCCGCGGCCUAUCAGCUUGUUGGUGGGGUAAUGGCCUACCAAGGCGGCGACGGGUAGCCGGCCUGAGAGGGUGGACGGCCACAUUGGGACUGAGACCGGUCAAUCUAUAUACGGGAGGCAGCAGUGGGGAAUAUUGCACAAUGGGCGGAAGCCUGAUGCAGCGACGCCGCGUGGGGGAUGACGGCCUUCGGGUUGUAAACUCCUUUCACCAUCGACGAAGGUUUUCUGACGGUAGAUGGAGAAGAAGCACCGGCUAACUACGUGCCAGCAGCCGCGGUAAUACGUAGGGUGCGAGCGUUGUCCGGAAUUACUGGGCGUAAAGAGCUCGUAGGUGGUUUGUCGCGUCGUCUGUGAAAUUCCGGGGCUUAACUCCGGGCGUGCAGGCGAUACGGGCAUAACUUGAGUACUGUAGGGGAGACUGGAAUUCCUGGUGUAGCGGUGAAAUGCGCAGAUAUCAUGAGGAACACCGGUGGCGAAGGCGGGUCUCUGGGCAGUAACUGACGCUGAGGAGC